RNAcentral lists this non-coding RNA (148 nucleotides) under Homo sapiens (human). The record is from Rfam by way of RNAcentral. Lineage: Eukaryota; Metazoa; Chordata; Mammalia; Primates; Hominidae.
GCCAGGUGUGGUGGUGCACGCCUGUAAUCCCAGCUACUCGGGAGGCUGAGGCAGGAGAAUCACUUGAACCUGGGAGGCAGAGGUCGCAGUGAGCCAAGAUCGUGCCACUGCACUCCAGCCUGGGCAACAGAGUGAGACUCUGUCUCAA